Molecule: ribosomal RNA, 463 nt
Filed under: uncultured bacterium
Lineage: Bacteria
Description: partial 16S ribosomal RNA
Rfam family: Bacterial small subunit ribosomal RNA
Source: RNAcentral
GACGAACGCUGGCGGCGUGCUUAACACAUGCAAGUCGAACGGAAAGGCCUUUUCGGAGGUACUCGAGUGGCGAACGGGGGAGUAACACGUGGGUGAUCUGCCCUGCACUCCGGGAUAAGCCUGGGAAACUGGGUCUAAUACCGGAUAGGACCGCACUUUAGUGUGUGUGGGGGAAAGUUUUUUCGGUGUAGGAUGAGCCCGCGGCCUAUCAGCUUGUUGGUGGGGUAAUGGCCUACCAAGGCGGCGACGGGUAGCCGGACUGAGAGGUUGGUCGGCCACAUUGGGACUGAGAUUCGGCCCAGACUCCUACGGGAGGCAGCAGUGGCGAAUAUUGCUCAAGGGGCGCAAGCCUGAUGCAGCGCCGCCGCGUGGGGGAUGACGGCCUUCGGGUUGUAAACGCCUUUCGCCAGGGACGAAGCGUUUUGUGACGGUACCUGGAGAAGAAGCACCGGCUAACUACGUG